Olea europaea var. sylvestris is the source of this 3682-nucleotide RNA transcript. It is a transcript of the gene named RNA-binding protein 28-like, with no coding region annotated. NCBI's taxonomy places the organism in Eukaryota, Viridiplantae, Streptophyta, Magnoliopsida, Lamiales, Oleaceae. The transcript has 12 exons. The record is from RefSeq and is a predicted model, not a curated record.
GUUUGACAUGGUUAAUAUUAAAACUACCCUCUUCUUCCUCAGUCUCUGACUCGGUUCCCACCAAAUCACCGGCCGACAAACAAUCCGGCCGUGUUCUACCCUUCCCGUUAGCUUUUUAGUAAUUUUACACAAUUCCCACCACAUGCUUGAUGAAACAUUGCAAUGCUCUUGAUAAAAAUAAUUUCGAGAAUGGAAAACAACAAGAAGGUGAAGGCAAGUGGCAACACUUCUCACUGCUCUGCUACUGUUUUUGUUGCCAAUUUACCCUUUUCUUUCACCAGUACUCAGCUUGAAGAAACAUUCAGUGAGGUUGGACCAGUUAGACGGUGCUUUAUGGUCACCAAGAAAGGGUCCAGUGUACACCGAGGCUUUGGCUUUGUUCAAUUUGCCACUGUUGAAGAUUCUCACCGUGCAAUUGAGCUGAAAAAUGGCUUGAUCAAUGGAGGUAGAAAAAUUGGAGUGAAACAUGCUAUGCAUCGUGCUCCACCUGAGAAAUGUCGAGCAAAAGAAAAUAGAGUUCACACUGAAGAUGUUAUUGAGACCGACAAAGAUGUUUUAACCACAGAGAUAGAAAAACUCAAGAAGGAACCACCAAACUCUCAUUUAGAAGUUCAUAUGGAAGAUGUUGUUGAGACAAAGAACGACAAGAACAUUUCUGCCACAUCAGAAGAAAAGCUUGGGAAGGCACCAAACUCUCAAGUGGAAGGUAAAUCCAAGAAGAAACAAAAAGGAACUGUGAUUUCUAGUAGUCUGCCUGAUCAAAGAAGUGGUACAGAAAAAACAAAGAAUUAUUCACACGGAGCUCUCUACAUGCUAAUAGGGUCGCUAAGACAGUCAUAUUUGGUGGUCUUCUUAAUGCUAAUGUGGCAGAGGAAGUACACCGUCAAGCAUGGAACUGUGGCACAGUAUGUUCUGUCACCUACCCUCUUCCCAGAGAAGAGCUUCAGCAUCAUGGGCUAGCUCAAGAUGGAUGUAAAAUGGAUGCUUCUUCUGCACUUUUUACAAGUGUAAAAUCGGCCCGUGCAUGCGUUGCAUCAAAAAGAGAUUCAGGGGCUAUCUAUUUUGGCACGGCAGCUUGGUGGAGAGGACCUAUCAUUUGGGAAGACGAUUGGCAGUGUUAAGGAAUGUGAGAGACUUUACUACUUUGAAGAAGCGGAUGUGAGUCAACUAAAUCAAAUUGCAACUUGUGAUUCUGUUCUUAUUCCUAGAGAUAGCGAACUUCUAUUAUGACAUUUUAGAAUAGGUCAUACUAAUUUACAAUAUCUACGACAUGUAUUUUCUUCCGAGUUUUCAAUUAAAAAUUCCUUUGAUCUUCAGUGUGAGCAUUGUGAGCUGGCAAAACAUCAUCGUUCUUCAUUCCCGAAAUCAACAUACAAACCAACGAAACCGUUUACCUUGAUUUAGAGUAUUUGGUUGCACUACUUUCGUCCAUAUACAUAACCAUCAUUGGGGAAAACUUGACCCUCGUUCCCUUAAAUGUGUACUCAUUGGAUACUCUUCUACUCAGAAAGGAUACAAAUGUUAUGAUUCAUCUACAAGAAAAUUAUUUGUUACCCUUGAUGUCACGUUCUUCGAACGAACGCUCUACUUCAAAAACCCCUAUCUUCAGGGGAGAAUUCAAGUGAAGAUAGGGUAAGGAAAGAUAUCUUCGGCUUUGAUCUCUCUCCUAUUGAACUAAUUAUACACACACCAACUUGUCCGAACUUGCCAUUUACAAAAGGAAACUUAAACUUAUGUGAAGAUACAGGAAAGCAAGUUGACAAGGAGAUUUGGUUUAUUCAAGAAAGCCAAAGUCAACGUAUAAGGAGAACCUCACAUCCGAAGCACCAAAAGAGUUGGAACUGAUGACUCCUCCAGUUAACAUCGAGUCUUCAGGAAAUGAUCUACCUAUUGCUCUCAGAAAACAACCUCGGUCAUGUACUUUUCACCCUAUUUCAAAAUUUGUAUCCUAUAACACCCUUUCUGCAGGAUUUCGUGUUUUUUCUUCUAACCUUGACAGUACAAAAAUUCCAAACAAUAUCCAGGAAGCCAUGGCUAUUCCCAAAUGGAAAGAAGCUGUUUUGGAAGAAAUGCGAGCAUUGGACAAAAAUAAACCUUGGGAUGUGGUAGAGUUACCAAAAGGAAAAAAACCUGUUGGUUGCAAAUGGGUCUUCAAUGUGAAAUACAAAGCAGAUGGGACUAUAGAAAGAUACAAAGCUCGCCUGGUUGCAAAAGGAUAUACACAGACCUAUGGCAACAACUACACAGAAACAUUUGUUCCGGUAGCAAAAUUGAAUACCAUCCGGGCAAUCUUAUCCAUAGCAGCAAAUUUGGACCGGCCUUUCUAACAACUCGACAUUAAAAACGCAUUCUUGAAUGGAGAAUUAGAAGAAGUUUUCACGACAUUACCUCCAGGUUUCUCUAGAAGGGGUGAAGAAAACAAAGUGUGCAAACUCAGAAGAUAGGGCUACCAAGAAACAGAAACGUUCUAUGCGAAGUAGGAUAGAUGGUGCUUUACCUGAGAAAACCUUAAAAGGCUUGAAGCAGUAGGUGGUGAACCAGCUGAAAAUAAGGAAGCCCUGGAGCGGCGAAGACACAAACAUGAAAAGAAAAAGAAUCGGAUCGCAAGAUCUAACUAAACAAUCCAAAGAAGACAGUAAUCCAAGGAAAAGAGGUAAAAAUAAUAAUGAUCCAUUGGGAAGAGAUGUAGUCGAUAAACUCGAUAUGUUGAUCGAACAAUAUAGAUCCAAAUUUACGUAGACCAAUUCUAAUCCAACCGAUGUUGACAAGAAGCAAGGCUCCAAGCAGCAGCUCAAGAGGUGGUUCCAAUGAUAAUUUUGUCUUAAAAGUCAUAAAAGAUCCUAGUGUGUUUGUUUCUUGGUACUUUAAGCUGACAUGUACGCCUUGAUCUUUUUCUCCGGAAAGGAUCAAUUGAAACCCUCUAAUGGUUUCAACUAGACCAACAUAUUUCUUUGGAGAAUCGGUAAAUACUUUUGCGCAGAGAAUUGAACCAAUAAUUUUCUUUCUUCAUCAUCAAUCGAAUCACUGUUCGCGACCUAGGAUUCUAUUUUAUCAUCAAUCCAAUACCUGUUCACGUUUUUUCUUUUUCUUAUUUUUCCCUUCGAAAAUUUUGUUUUAAUCUCACAUUCAAAUUUUUUGGGGUUUUUUUAACCGAUCAUAGUGUUUUUAUCCCCUCGUCUAAGAUGCACAUUUAACAGUUGGAACGAAUCAGUUUGGCAAUAAUGUAACAAGUGAAAUUUAACAGCCUCCAUACAAAUGGCAUAUUCGUUUUGUUAAAUUGGUCAAAACAUAAACAUGCUUAAACAUCCCACGAUAGUUAGAGAUGGCAAUGGAGCAAGUGGGUCGAGGCGGCCCUUUAUGUUCUACUGCCCUGUUGUCGAUUUUUGGGAGGUGGAGUGGGACUAAAAUAUUCGCAUUUUUCGAUCAGUUUACUUAUUUGUUAUAUUCUUUAAUACAGUCAAGAUGGGAACAUAGUCCCCUCUUCGACACCGACAGGAGCAAAACAUUUUGUCAUUCUUAUGGAGCUUGUUUGGAAUAAUAUAUUAUACGGAAUUCACUUCUCUCCACCUUUUGUUGAUACAUUCUUCAAAAAAAUUAUUUUUCACUUGUAAAAUCUUCGUCAAACAAGCUCUUGAUAGUGGGAGACCAGAUUUUGUUGAUUUCUUUUUGCAAUAAUAAUUUU